CCUUUAUUUUUGUAUUCUGUGGGCGUCUCUCUCUCUCUUUCUCGCUAGGGAUCGCUCUGGUCAGCCAUCCGAACUCAACUCAACUCGUUCUAUUUCUUUCAACUCACUACUAUUAACCCAUCCCAGCACCUAAUUACUUACACUCACCUUCUUCCAUCUCAUUUCUCAAACACACACACUUACCCGCCAAAAUUUUAAUUAACCCUUUCAAUUCAAACCUCUUUCUUUUCCUUUCCCUCUCUCUCUCUCUCUCUCUCUCUCUCUAGGGUUUCCCCUUCCAUGGAGGAGGCCGUCUCCGAUCCCCAUCCGGAGAUGGAGCAGCAGCAGCAGCCUCCGCCGCUUCAGAACGGGGACUCCGACGAGCGCUGCGCCAAGAAACCUAAAUUCGACCAAGGCGCUGAAUUCAAGAGAGUGGCGGAGAUUGUGCUGGUUCUCUCCACCAUGGCCACGGUGCGCGCGGGGAGAAAGCCCUCCGACGCCGAGGUCGAGCUCAUGAGGGAGGCUCGCGCCAAGCUCGCCAGCCUCUGCGAGGGUUUGGCUCCGAAGGAUAUUGUCACCAGGGAAGCUAUUGGCACCGUCAUUGAGGAUCUCGGAUUGAACUUCAAGCUCAAGGACCAGAGAUUAGGGUUUCGAACUCCCAAGAUGUCCAUUGCCGAGAGGUAUUCCCAUGCUAAGUGGAAGAUGGAAGAAGCAAAGAAAAUUUCUGCACCUUCUACACCUUCUACAACUCACACCUCUCAGCCCUUGCAAACAAACAUUGUUGGACCAGUUGACAAUCGUGUGCCAUCACAUGUUCGAAUUUUUCCUUCUGAUAAAUCAAGCCACCCAUCAAUCCCUUCUAUGGGUGCCAUAGUGUCUAUUCCUGCCCAUGUUUCUGUGGGAUCUUCUGCAGCAUUGCAGUAUCAAGUGAUCAGCAAUGAAGUAAGACCACCAGUGGUUUCUGGUGUGAUGCCUGGCAGUCACUUGGGGAGAAAUGCAUCUUCUUUAGCAUUGCCUAAAGUUGAACACCCACAGUUCAAAGUUGAUGGAGGAUCAAAUGGGUCUCCUUACAUGCUGCAAGUCCAAGCAAAUUCAUCAGCAAACCAACCUUUGGUGAAUGCUCCAACAUGGUCUAUACAGAGUCAAGCUGCUUCAUUAGCUAGAAGUGCAUCAGAAAACAAGGUGCCUGUUCAGAACUCUGUCAAGGUUGAAGGAACACCUGACAUAACUGUAUCAAGGGCAGGACCACAAAUAACAACAGACCCGAGCUUUAAACCAUUUAUCACUCAAACAGCCCCUGGAACUUUACCUAGUGUGCACCAGCCAUUGCAGGCCACAAACAUUGUUCAGCCUCCUUUGAUUCCUAGUCACACUGACAUUGCUAAGAUUGUCCAGAAAGUGUUACAACCAAAGCUUCCUGUCCAUCCCACGUGGACUCCUCCAUCAAGGGACUAUAUGAAUAAGGCUUUCACUUGUCAGAUGUGUGAGCUCAGUGUCAAUGAGGUUGAUACUGUACUUCUCUGUGAUGCUUGUGAAAAGGGAUUUCACUUGAAGUGCCUGCAGCCAUCAGUCUUGAGAGGAAUUCAUAAUAGAGUUGAUUGGCACUGUAUGAGGUGCUUGAGUUUAAGUGGUGGAAAGCCUUUGCCUCCAAAAUAUGGUCGUGUGAUGAGAUCCUCGAACACACCACCAAAAUUGCCUUCUAAUACAGGUGGCAUUCUACCUUGUUCUGAGAAGAAAGUAGAGAACAUAGAUCCAAAGGUCAUCCCACAAACGUUAGCAACAAAUGGGAGCUCUGUUCAAACUGUUUGCGGUGGCAAUCACAAUGUUGAGCUGUCAUCUGAAUCAAGGAUACCAGAUACCAAAGAUAUGCAAGGGACUAACAUUUCAUCCACCAUUGAAGCUAUUGAUAAGAAGCCUGAUCCAAACAACUCUAUGAAAUCUCUUAGUGCAGCUUCUAGUCCUUCCCCUUGCUUGCUAGGUAAAAAUUCUGUUCAACAAAUAAAUUCUAAGGUUUUGACUGGUAAAGAGACUUUGGAAUCUGAGUCUCUUCCUAAAUUAUCUGAGCCAGCUAAGUGUGAAGAUUUGCAAUCAUCACAAGAUUUUCAAGUUGAACAUACAAUGUCACAAGACAAUCCUGAAGUAUCAUCAGAUAAACAUGUCGACCAUAAUAUUAUGAAUAAUAAACAGAAGGAAUUUCAUGGAGGAAAAAGUUUAACUUAUGAUAUUAAGCGUGAUGACCAAGAUGCUGCACUUGCAAAUUUUGUUGGAACUUCUGGAACUAAUACUGACGGUACACAGCACUCUGCAUUAUCUUCAGAUAGUUCACAUGCAGUAGAAUGGAUUGGUGAUGUAGUACAACUAGUAGAUGAGAAAAAGUAUUACCAAUCUUGUUGUAUUGAUGGAGUAACAUAUAGGCUGCAGGGUCAUGCUCUUUUCCCCACCAGCCAUGGGAAACUAACUCCUUCUAAACUCCAGUCUAUGUGGGAAGAUUGCAAAACUGGGUUAAAGUGGGUUAAGGUGACAAACUGCUACUUUCCUGAUGAUUUGCCAGGGAAUAUUGGUCAUCCGUGUAUAUCUGAAGUCAACGAGGUUUAUGAAUCUAAUGGUGAUAGAACUGAAAUGGCUAACUCUAUUCGAGGGCCAUGUGAAGUCCUCCCAUCUGAUAAAUUUAAACAAGAAAAUGACAUGCGAUGUCAGUUAGGAAUUGAGGAAACUUCUAAAGUGCAGCCCAUUUUCCUUUGCAGGUGGUUUUAUGACGAAUUCAAGAAGUUAUUUCAACCUGUAAUCAGUUGAUUAUGUCUUGGACGUAUAUGUUUUGUGAUUCCUACAUGGCGCAAUUUUUGUGGUAUUUGGUGGGGUUUCGAACAGGAUAUUUAUUGUAUGGGUAAUUGAGCAUGCAUUAAGAUUCACUUGAGACCCAUUAUAAGGCACAUUGCAGCAACAUUGCCUCCUCGUACAAGAAUGUUCUAUCAUUUCAGCAUAAAUUGCUUUUGAUGUAAAAUAUGUAGCUGAGUCUGUGGACUGCUUAGUUUAGCUUUCGCUUUGGUAGUUUUUUUUUUUCCCGAUAGAUAUUCAUUCUGUAUAAUUCUUUUUUGGGCAUUAGGCUCUUUAGGCCCAAUAAUUACAUUAUUAUCUUUGAAUUAGAUCAGUGUAGUUCCCUUAGUUUGCUGAAUUGUAAGAUACUUCAUUUGUACAAAAGCCAUUUCUUCUAAAAUGCAUAACCUUGGCAAUUUCGUUAUCAA
RNA transcript from Glycine soja, 3221 nucleotides. RefSeq lists it as uncharacterized. NCBI's taxonomy places the organism in Eukaryota, Viridiplantae, Streptophyta, Magnoliopsida, Fabales, Fabaceae. The transcript is spliced from 7 exons. The record is from RefSeq and is a predicted model, not a curated record.